This 361-nucleotide ribosomal RNA is filed under the name Odorrana chloronota. RNAcentral describes it as "partial 16S ribosomal RNA". Lineage: Eukaryota; Metazoa; Chordata; Amphibia; Anura; Ranidae. The record is from RNAcentral.
UUAUUUGAAAUAGGAUACAACCUCCACCACUGGGUAAAGGGGAAAUAAUAAAAACAAAGUGGGCCCAAAAGCAGCCACCUAUAAAAAAGCGUCAAAGCUUGACUUUUAUAAUCCAUAAUUACUAAAACAUCCACUAACCCAUCACUUCUACUGAACCAUUUUAUAUUAUUAUAAAAACGAUUAUGCUAGAACUAGUAACAAGAACUUGCCAUUCUCCACAAUGCAAAUAUAAACCAAAACGGACUCCCCAUUGGUGAUCAACGUAAAUGCAAAACCAUAACAACACACAAACCAGAAAACCUUAUGGUCACUGACACGUUACCCUAACACUAGAGCAUUACAGGAAAGAUUAAAAGAAAGA